UUUAACAUAAUCUACAUCAUCUGGUUUAUAUCUGACUCUGUGUUUGUGUUACAGGAAUAUUGCAGCAAAUUAAUUCACUGGAAGAAAUGUUUGCCAGGCUACUGAAAAUAUAGGUGAAAAGUUCAUUUUUAAAUUCAGAUCUUUGUUCCUGCUAGCCUCCAGUUUGAAAGAACAGUUUGAAGAUGGGAGGUAAUUCUCAAGCUAAUGGUCUUCUGGUGAUCAAGUGGGGAAACACCUGGAUGGAGACACACAGAGGUCCUACACUGGGGGAGCUGCAGGAACAGGUUGAGCCUACAGGAUCAGGCCCAGGUCAGUCUGCCACUCUCUUGCAUGGUGCUUGAAAUGCUGCCAGUUGAUCACAUAUGGCCAUGUAGAAAUUUUCUGCUCAGAGUCUUUAAAUUUUCUUCUCAAUGUGUUAACUUUCCAUGGUUUGUUUUUUUUUUUUUUUUUUAAUGGGUCAGGAGACAGUAAUUCUCAUCCUUGAAAACUAAAAAUGUUUUAUUAUUUUAAAAAUAGUCUUUUAACAGAUCAGAAAGUGUAACCUCUUUUUACAUCACACAUAGAGAAGAUAAAUCAUUGGAUGCCUUAAUUUAUAAGUACCCAUUAUAUUCCAGCUUCAUUGCCAGUAUCUAUUUACACAUUUCCCACAAAGAAAUUAAAAUAGAAGAACAUAUUGUU
This is a long non-coding RNA of Columba livia (rock pigeon), 678 nucleotides long. RefSeq lists it as uncharacterized. The transcript has 3 exons. Lineage: Eukaryota; Metazoa; Chordata; Aves; Columbiformes; Columbidae. The record is from RefSeq and is a predicted model, not a curated record.